UUUUUUUUUUUUUUUUUUUUUUUUUUUUUUUGUCCUUUCAUUUUCUAAGUUUAGACCAUCUAAAUGUAAAAGGAAUACCCCAUAUGCAGUCCUACUUGUGCAUUCUGGUCAAUGCAAUGUUCAUCAAUGUGAAAUCUCUCAGGGCUGUUGUUUCGUUAUCUCUCUACAGACAUCCCAGAACAUGGAGCUUGGUUCAGAAAAAGAAUCCCCUGACAUUGACUUUGAGGCAGUGGUCUACCUAGGGAGGUACACAAUCAAAAAAUCUGUGAGUAACUCAGUAAAAACUCAAGUGCACUUCUUCUCAAUGGAGGGAAAUCUGAAUUUAUUUGUUUGUUCAUUUACCCUAAGCAAAUAGAGACAAAGUUAAUAGUAUCUGGCAUUUUACUUAGGUCUUCUUUUCCACUGGAUACCUUCACUAUUAUUUUUGCCUAAAUUAGGAUUCUGAAACAUAGGUCACUUUUGGAAACGUUAGAAUCAGUGAGAAGAAAACUACUCGGAAGAAUCUUCGCCCAUGUAUAGACUAGCUCGAAAAAUGAAAGUAGAAGCUGAGCACUUUAUUUCCCUUUCUUUCCUAAAAGAAAAAGCCCAAUUGCUUUCCUGGCAAAACAGAAUGCUAAUUUCCAUAACAAAGAGGAACGAUGAAAAGUGUGAUAUUAUGAGACCCAGUGUCUUAUCAAUACAAAUCUCUCUUUUUUUUUAAGAUUUUAUCUAUUUAUUCAUGAGAGACGCAAAGAGAGAGACGCAUAGGCAGAGGGAGAAGCAGGCUCCAUGCAGGGAGCCCAAUGUGGACCCGAUCUGGGGACUCCAGGAUCACAACCUGAGGGGAAUGCAGAUGCUCAACUGCUGAGCCACCCAAGAGGUCCUCAAUACAAAUUUCAUAGCCCUACGUUGGACUCUGUGCUGAGCAGGGAAUCUGCUGGAGGAUCGUCUCUCCUUUCUACCCCUCCCCCCACUCACUUGUACAUAUGCUUGCUCUCUGUCUCAAAUGAGUAAAUAAAUCUUUUAAAAAAUAAAAAUAAAUCUCAUAGCAGACAGGCACUUUCCCUAUAAGAACAGUCUCUUUUCUAAUGUUCUAUGACAUAGUUUCUUACUACAUCUGUUCAUGAAAACAGCCUCAUUUCUCACUUGUAAAAUAGUGCAAAUACACUAAUACACCACGUAAAGUUCUCUGCUUUGUCAUAUGGUACCUUGCGCUCUAACACCAAAGCUAUGUAUUGAAGAAUGCUUGAAAAAGAAUUUUGAACAAAAACGUCAAUAUCAAAAAAAAUUUAUCUAAAAAAGUUAUAUUUUCAUAUGUCUUCAAAGGAGGGAACCGCCUGAGUGCCCUUUUAGAUCUUACUAUGAAACAAAUGUUCUUACAGGAGUCCUUCAGAAAUUUCCAAAUUAGCUGAAUUUGGUACAUUAUCAAAAUUUGUCUCUAUAAGUGAAGAAAAAUUAUAAACUAGGCUUUUCUAACUAUAAUAAAAGUAAAGAAAUAAAUAAUUUCCCAUAGAUUUGCACAGGUAAAAAUACAUUUAAUAAUUAAUCUCAUAAGCUAGUCAAGGAAAGUUACAUUGCAAAUAACUCCUUGUAAUUUCAUUAUUCUUUUCAUACUUUGGAUACAUGGAGAUAUAAUAAUUUAGUUAAAUUCCUCAGGAUUGCAUUGUUUGAUAAAUCUAUGAUCUAAAGCCUAAAGGUAAAAACAUUAAGAAAAAUAACAAUAAAGUUCUUAGCUGCUUACAAAAAUGUCAUCUCAGUUAUACUUACUAUAAUGCCACUAGGCAAAAUUACUUACAGUACUUCUGGCUAUGUUGACCUUUUAUUUUAACAACAACAAAAAAUCUAUGUCCAUUAGUCAUAAUGGCGAACAGCUAGCAUAUUAAAAUAGUGAUAGGUGACACUGGUGGUUACUCUUUACUUCCUGGGGUCAGUUAACUGCUAGUUCUUCUAGAUUGCAAUCCCAAAUGCUGCAAACUAGGUUAUUCAUAGAUUCACUGUAAUUUCCUAUUAAUAUUAAGUGCUCUACAGAAUAUUAUAAUUUUUCAUCUUCUUCAUCUAAUAUCAGUGAGAUAUUUGCACUUCCUAUCCUUUAAAAAAAGAUUUUAUUAAUUUAUUUGACAGAGAGAGAGAGCAUGAGUGGAGGAGUGGCAGAUGGAGAGGGAGAAGCAGACUCCCCGCUGAGUAGGCACCCCAAUAUGGGGCUCCAUCCCAGGACCCUAGGAUCAUGACAUGAGCUAACCUGAGCCUAAGACAGACACUUAACUGACUGAGCCACCCAGGUGCCUCUGGGCUUCCUAUCCUUUAAGGAAAGAUUCCUCUAGGCUACCAUCAAACUUCUUAAUCCUAAUAUCUCAUGACAUCACCUUGUAACAUAAAAACCUAUACUUCUUUAGUCUUUUAUUGAAUCACAACUUCUAAAAAUUAUAAAUUUUAUCCUUUUAAAAUGUAUGAGUAAGUGCAUUUUAAAAAUAUUAUGAUAAUAUAUAUCAUUAUUUCUACAUGGUUAAGAUAAGGCAUUCUGAAGCAAAUACAAAAUACCUUGGCAUUUCUGAAACAUAUUUUUUUGAAUCUCUAAGUUCACAAAUAUCUAUAACAUAUGAAUUAGUAAUGUGUUAGUACAAUAUGACGAUGGCCCUUUAAGAACCCUAAUAAAUGAAUUAAUUCAUGUCUAAGGCAAUUUAUAAUCAGUUCAAAAAAAUUUCUGCCUACGACUUCUCACUGCAUUAUAUUGUAUUACUAUAAGAACAUAAAUUGUAAAGGUGCUUGAACCAACAAUUUUCUUAUCAUGUGAGAGCUACAGGGAUGAAGACAAUAAUAAAUAGGUUGGUGUCUCUCAAGCAGCACACAGGCUCCCACACAAAGUACAUCCCCUAUCGUGUAUGCAUGUGAUACAGUUCCAAGUCUGAGCAAAAUUAUUCAUGAGCUAUUAGCACCACGUCUAAGUCAUUAAAACCAAGAAUGUUAAAUCUUUGAAUAUCCAAGUUCACUGUGUAUUCUGAUGAAUAAUGUGGUGCAACUACAAGGAAUACAUAGAUAAUAAACCGGGAUUUAAGUGAACUUGAUGCCAAAAUUAUGCUGAAACAAUUUAAUAAUCCACAAUCCACUUUAGAAACCUAUCAUUUCAGACUUACUUCAUUAUUGACAUUAUUUGCAUGACCAAUUACAGAACUCUAAUUUUAUUAUAUGUACCUUUUUAUAUUUUUUAAAACCAAAAGUGCCCAGAAUUUUGUGUAGAAACGUUUGAGUUCACUCAAUAGCCAUUUUCCUAUCUCAAUUUAACAUUACAGUCAUUAAUUUAUCUUGCUUUAUUCCUUUGCUUAAAUAUGUUCACUCUUUCUCAUUUUUAAAAUAAUUUUUUAGAGUAACUAAAACCUAUUUUUCCUCUAGGUAAGAAUGAGUAUGGGUAGAAAGGAGUGAAACAAGAACUUAGCAAAAUUAAGUUGGGCAGGUGAACAUAUUAACAAGCACUGAAGUUUGGAAAAAGUAUUACUCAUUGUUAUUUACGUGGGCAGCAAGCUGGAAUUUCCUACUGCUUUUAAUAAUGGCAAUUGACAUGGAAAACGAUACACAAUAUAGGUCCUUCUGCUGAGCAGACACUCACAAGUAGCUAUUCAAUGAAAUAAAUUAAGGAAGCCUCCUGCCUCUGACUUGUCUGCCUAUGACCUAAUGAAAAAUGACUUAUUCACAGUCCCAAUCAGUGAGACCUAUAUUUGGAUGUUUUCCUUGUUGUUUUGUUUUAUUUUAUUUUCUGGAAUUCUUUUUUAUAGCCAAUUACACAGGAAUAAGGCCCCUUAUACAAAAAAAAAAAAAAAAAAAUCAGCUAUGUUGAAGCUAACUGUCCUUUCCAAUAAACUGAAAGGCUAAAACAUCUAGACCGUGAAACAAAAGGGAAUGUGAUUUGACAUGGAAAAAAUACCAAAGGGCAGUGAUGAUUUAAAAAAAAAAAAAAAAAAGAGGUAAAAAAAAUCAGAGCUAUUUUUUAAGGAUUUUAUUUAUUUUUUAGAGAGAGGGACAAUGCAUGCAUGAAUGAGGGGAGGGCCAGGGGGAGAGAUAAUCUCAAGCAGACUCUGCUCUGAGCAUAGAGCCUAUGUGGGGCUCGAUCUCACCACCCUAAGGUCAUGACCUGACCUGAAAUCAAGAGUCAGAUGUUUAACUGACUGACCCACCCAGGCAUUCCAAAUGCAAAACUUUUGAAGAAGAAAACAAACAACUAAACUAAAAGGCUUGGUUUUAUUUGUUUUUUUGUUCUUUUAGUUCAUUUAAUUAUUUUGUGGGUCUUUUUAUAAUAAACAUGUUGAAAGGGGUCAGAAAAAUGUUGGCAUAUCUAAAUCUCCAAAAGUUAAUGUUGGCUGUUAACUCGAAAUAGAACCAGAAAUUCAGUUGUAUUUUAGGAUUAAGCUUUACUCUGGAUAGGUUUCUGGAGCACCUCUAGAUUGCCUAGGAUUAUAUUCAUUUAUUCAGCAAAUACUUAGAAGUUACCUAUCUCUAUCUUUGUGCUAGGCUCAGAGAAAAAUACCAAUGUCCAUACCCCUGCCUUUGAGGCACCUAAAAUAUGUUGAGGAGACUUCUGCCUGGGAUAUUCAAGAAAGGCAUCAUGCAAUAAUUCACACUGAUGCUUGGAUAAAUUCUGAUAGGCACAGAGAGUCUGGGAGAAUAUGGAAUACACAAGGACACACAGACCACAAAGCAGGUUGUCUGGGUGAAGACUACUGCAGACAAGAUCAUUGGAACCCAGAGGAGAGUGGUUAUUCUAUCCAGUGACUAUUAGAAGUAAGUAUCACCAGGAUGGAAUUUGGAAAUGGGUUCAUGAAUAGAAAGCUUGUCUUGAGAUAUAUUCUUGGGUUUGAGUGCAGUGAAAGGUUCACACAGUAUGAACACCACAGCCCCCUUCUCUGUUUUGCCUGUUAAAGUCAAGGAUCAGAAAAUUCAGCAUCUACAUUUCUAAUCUUUAUUGCUUAGAAUAUAGUGUUUGCAAGAGCCAGUUUAGGGCAUGAGUUUGAUUCUCCUGAUAGUGGAACAUCCAUAUUCUGUCAAAGAUGCCUGUGGCCACCUGCUCACCUCAGAAACACCUGAUGUCCUUCAAUGUGCAAGAAUGAGAGAGGGACAGGGAUCAGAGAGAAUCCAAACCUUCUAGAAAAACAACUCAAACUAAUACACUCAAACUAAAAAUCUCUGUCAAAAUUAUUAGUUUUAUUCACCAAACAGCUGCCUUAUAGGGUAGAUAUUGUUAUCCCUGCCUUUAUUAUUUUAUAGAUUAUUUUAAGAAAGAAAAUACUGUAAACAUGUACUAUGUCCCCCUGGUACAGUAUAUCAUCUUUUCAUCCUAAAUCAGGCUUAAGAAAAUGCCUGUACAGAGUUGUACAAAUGCAAAUUCUAUGUGAUGAGAAGAACUGCAUAGAUUUUUCUCCUCUCAUCUGCCCUUUUCUAAAAGCAAAAUUUAAGACAAUGCUUUGUCACAAUGCUUAAAACUAUUUUUAAGUCAUAAGCUUAAGAUUCACUUCUACUUUGGAGAUGAUAGUAAAGUGUAAUAUGUGUACAUAAUUUUAAACUGAUCAAUUUAUAUACUAACCUUUUCUUUUUUUAUAAUUAGUAUCUUGAUUAUAAUAAUGAUUGGUGCUCCCAAAAAAUUAGCAAGUAGGAUUAAUAUAUUUUAACUUUUAAACCUGAAAUAAGCAUUUCCUAAUAAUAUUGUUUAGAGUUAAAGAUAAGGUUGGAAUUGGUCUGGGGAAGCCACAUUUUGGAUCUAAUUGAAGAGUUCAUCUGCUCACAGAGUUAAGAUGGGCAUAAAUCUAUCAACCAAAUAGCCAUAGGAGACUGUCAAUAUACACAUUCCAAACGACAUUUUGGGUAAUCCCAGAGUUAGCAGAGCCUUUGGUCCUCAAAUUUGCUGCAUAUAAGAGUGACCUUGAGAUUUUUUUUUUUUUAAUUUCAAUGAACAGACUACUUGCCAAGCAAAUUCAGUAUCUCUACCAGUGGGACUCAGGUCUCAAUAUUUUUGUACAUUCCCUUAGUGAUUUCAAUGUGUGGCUAAAUUUGAAACAUGGUGGCUUAGGCCACCAUGUUAACAAAUUUAAUCAGAUAAAUGCUGAUAAACCCCUUAUAUUGAGUGAAGACAUAAAAGCCCCAAGACAUAGGCAACUAUGAUAUCCAUGACUAGAAUACAAGUAACAGCUUGUAAAGAAUCCCACAGAGGGUACUGAGAGGGCAGAUAGAUUAUUUUCACUAGAGCCAAACCUGGCAGAAAUACAUGCUAUUUAAGAUAGCACUUAAGGUGGAGUUAGGUUUUUGACCUGAGCAUCCAUGUAGUGUGCAUAGCCUAGGCAAAGUCAUUAAGAAACAAAAGCAUAGACUGUGUAUCUGGAUUAAUGAACUCGAUUUACUUUGAGUCCAUGUUUCCAGUAGAGGAUUUGAAUUUGCAUAAGCAGAAAGUUUAGUAGAGGAACCCACAAAUGUCAUACUGAAGAAUUCAUAUUUAAUUUGAUGGACUUUUGAAUUACCCUAUUUAUUAUUAGAGGUGGGAUUUAGAAAUAUUAGUCUACAAUGAUAUGAUAGAGGUAGAUUGGAGAUGAGAAACCUGGACCAAAGAAAGGGUUAGGAAGAUGAUACAGUCACCAAGAAAAAAGGUAAUAAUGACAUGAAAUAGGGUUGUAGCACUGAAGACAAAAAAAGACAAAAAGAAUUCAGUUAUUUCCGUGGCACACAAAUCUACAUCCAUAAUGUAGCCUGGACGCUUAAGAACUUUUGAGUUUCCAAAACAUCAGCAAAUGGUACCCCAUAAUCGAAUAUGUUAGUAGGUUUGAUAGAGUAUUGGAAUAACCAGGCAUCAUUCUUUGCAUGAUCUAUUCAUUCUAAUAUUCUAAUUCAUAUUUUAAGAAUCAUGUUCCUGUGGUUUUUAUAAACAAAAUUAGCAGUUGUUACCACAAAGUAUCAGAAAAUCAUCUUUACAGAAUGGUCAGUUUGCUUUUCCACAUAUCUAGCCUGGGGAAAAAAUUUGAUUUAAUUGAUUCACCUUAUUGACAUAAUUUAAGUACAGCAAAUAAAAGAUACAUCAAAGAGGAAGAACAAAAGUUUUAGAAAAAUAAGUAAGUAUAUCUCUGAUCUUAUGUGCUUUUCUCUAUGUUAGAUUGCUGGAUGUUCAAGUGUAUGACAUUUAUCGAUACGUAUCUAUCAUUCCUGAAGAAUUAACAACAAUAUCUCGAUCUACAGAUGGAAACAUCAAUUUAAUUAACAAAUAAUUCUUAAAGUUUGUUUAUACUUUAGGGAAUUUAACAUUCCAGGUGAUUUGUGCAUAGAAACAAGGUCACCAUUCCUUCCACAAUUAGAGAACCAGGCUUCCAUCAUCUGCUCAGAUAGACUUGUGUAAGGCAUAUAUCUUUAUUUUGUCAUAAAGAUAGAUAUUGUAAUUUUUAACCAUCAGCAUUGGUUAAUGUUGGAUAUGUACGUAAGACAAAAUUUUCACAAAUAUUACACACAUAGCAUAAUUCAGUAGAUGAUCUGUCUCUAAUUCAGUACUUUUGCUAUGGAAUAGUUGUCCCAUCAAACAUUUCACACAUAUAUGUAGAUAUUUAUAUAUGCUCCUUAACAUUAGCAUAUAUCUAUAAAAUGACCAGAGAUGGUCAUUCCUAUGAACUCUUUGUAUUCCUCCAAAGUUUACAGAACAACUGAAAUAAUAAAGGACAAAAAAGCAAAUGAUAGAUUGAGAAAACGUAAAAACAGUUGGAUCUUGGAGCCACAAUACCACAUAAUAGGAUCCCAGAGAGCCUUGACCACCCACCUAGUUUUACGUUAUACACUGUGGGUUACGGCUUUUACUAGACAGCUUACUGAAAAGGGGGAAAAAUGAAAACAAAA
RNAcentral lists this long non-coding RNA (7830 nucleotides) under Canis lupus familiaris (dog). Its description in RNAcentral is "lncRNA (ENSCAFG00845006359.1)". Lineage: Eukaryota; Metazoa; Chordata; Mammalia; Carnivora; Canidae. The record is from RNAcentral.